Phascolarctos cinereus (koala) is the source of this 1165-nucleotide non-coding RNA. The record is from RefSeq and is a predicted model, not a curated record. NCBI's taxonomy places the organism in Eukaryota, Metazoa, Chordata, Mammalia, Diprotodontia, Phascolarctidae.
AUUGUCUUGUGCUUCGAGCUGUCGGCUGAGGCGCUUCAGUUUAGCCCUUGUGGUGGCUGCGAGGAGAAAGAGAGGAAGGGAAGGGGAGUUAAGGUCGAAGGCUGAGCGUGAGAUCUUCUGCAAAGAUAGCAGCUGAAGUGGCUUAGUUUGUUGAUCAUUUACUUUUACAUUUUCCAGAGUAUACUUUGAACCUCUACAGGGAAAAUAAUCAGGAGGGGAAGGUGGGGGUGGGGAAAACCCUCAACUGCAUCUUUGCCCACUGCCCUUCCGUACAAAGGCUUGUGAUUCACCCCAAACAUCGUGGCUGGCUCUGCAGGCUGAUGCCACUGGUGGUGCCCAGCAAGGGAACUGAGUUCAAGUUUCCCCACUCUGAUACUUAUCAAGUGUCCGUGUAAUUUGAGCUUCUCAGUCCUCAGGGCUCUUGGAUUCAGAGUCUUUGGCUGUACCUACCAGCGUCUGUGGGGAGAUGGUGGUCAAGACAGUUAGUGAUGGUUUGACUUGCCUGCCACAUACAGUUUUCCCUCAAGAUGCCUUGCUGCUUCAGCUAGGUUAUUAGAAAGAAUGGAACAUUCCUUUAAAAAAACGAAAGAAUAGUUUCAAUGUAAAAACAAAAAAGAAAAAGAAAGGAUCUGAAGAAGCAGAGGGGAAGUCAGACCUGUGUCAGAGAUGUUGGAGAGUGAAAAAAAUGUGACAGAAGGAAACAGAUCACUGAACACUUGGAGCUAAAUAACAGAUAAGAGAGUAUUCUCAAAGAAGAGGGAGUUGGACUUUACAAGGAAGAUAUAGCUGAUGAUAGAGAUCCAUAAGCACCAUCAGGAGAGAGAUCAUCCAAUAAGAUUCAGAGGAAGAAGGGAUGAAUGGUGUUAGCAGUCCUUUAUUGACCUUAGAGCAAUCAAAAGCUCCUCUGUCUUGUCAGGGAACCUCCCAAGGCAGGAAUACUUCCCCUCACCUGUGUCUUCCCAUCUGUUUCCAACAACACUCAUCCAGACCACAACAGCCACGGAAUUCUCCAGUUUAAUUGCAUUGGAGGAGUUUUUGAAAGACUGGUCCAAGACAAACAAGACUGAGGAGGCCAGGAAAUGGAAACCUACAAUAGUACUGAGUCCACAGAUUUUGCCAAAGCAGAGUAUACAAUGGCGUUUGAAUGAUUUUGGAAAGAAUUAAA